This 2936-nucleotide ribosomal RNA is filed under the name Priestia megaterium. RNAcentral's name for it is "23S ribosomal RNA". It matches the Rfam family "Bacterial large subunit ribosomal RNA". Lineage: Bacteria; Bacillati; Bacillota; Bacilli; Caryophanales; Bacillaceae. The record is from RNAcentral.
GGUUAAGUUAGAAAGGGCGCACGGUGAAUGCCUUGGCACUAGGAGCCGAUGAAGGACGGGACUAACACCGAUAUGCUUCGGGGAGCUGUAAGUGAGCUUUGAUCCGGAGAUUUCCGAAUGGGGAAACCCACUGUUCGUAAUGGAACAGUAUCUUUAUCUGAAUACAUAGGAUAUUGAAGGCAGACCCGGGGAACUGAAACAUCUAAGUACCCGGAGGAAGAGAAAGCAAAUGCGAUUUCCUGAGUAGCGGCGAGCGAAACGGAAUUAGCCCAAACCAAGAGGCUUGCCUCUUGGGGUUGUAGGACACUCUAUACGGAGUUACAAAGGAACGAAGUAAAUGAAGCGACCUGGAAAGGUCCGUCGAAGAAGGUAACAACCCUGUAGUUGAAACUUCGUUCCCUCUUGAGUGGAUCCUGAGUACGGCGGAACACGUGAAAUUCCGUCGGAAGCUGGGAGGACCAUCUCCCAAGGCUAAAUACUACCUAGUGACCGAUAGUGAACCAGUACCGUGAGGGAAAGGUGAAAAGCACCCCGGAAGGGGAGUGAAAGAGAUCCUGAAACCGUGUGCCUACAAGUAGUCAGAGCCCGUUAACGGGUGAUGGCGUGCCUUUUGUAGAAUGAACCGGCGAGUUACGAUCCCAUGCAAGGUUAAGCUGAUAAGGCGGAGCCGUAGCGAAAGCGAGUCUGAAUAGGGCGUUUAGUAUGUGGUUGUAGACCCGAAACCAGGUGAUCUACCCAUGUCCAGGGUGAAGUUCAGGUAACACUGAAUGGAGGCCCGAACCCACGCACGUUGAAAAGUGCGGGGAUGAGGUGUGGGUAGCGGAGAAAUUCCAAUCGAACCUGGAGAUAGCUGGUUCUCUCCGAAAUAGCUUUAGGGCUAGCCUCAUGUUGUGAGAGUCUUGGAGGUAGAGCACUGAUUGGACUAGGGGCCCCCAACGGGUUACCGAAUUCAGUCAAACUCCGAAUGCCAAAGACUUAUCCAUGGGAGUCAGACUGCGAGUGAUAAGAUCCGUAGUCAAAAGGGAAACAGCCCAGACCACCAGCUAAGGUCCCCAAGUAUACGUUAAGUGGAAAAGGAUGUGGAGUUGCUUAGACAACCAGGAUGUUGGCUUAGAAGCAGCCACCAUUUAAAGAGUGCGUAAUAGCUCACUGGUCGAGUGACUCUGCGCCGAAAAUGUACCGGGGCUAAACGUAUCACCGAAGCUGUGGAUUGACAUCUUUGAUGUCAGUGGUAGGAGAGCGUUCUAAGUGCAGCGAAGUCAGACCGUAAGGACUGGUGGAGCGCUUAGAAGUGAGAAUGCCGGUAUGAGUAGCGAAAGACAAGUGAGAAUCUUGUCCACCGAAUGCCUAAGGUUUCCUGAGGAAGGCUCGUCCGCUCAGGGUUAGUCGGGACCUAAGCCGAGGCUGAAAAGCGUAGGCGAUGGCCAACAGGUUGAUAUUCCUGUACCACCUCCCCGCCGUUUGAGUAAUGGGGGGACGCAGUAGGAUAGGGUAAGCGCGCUGCUGGAUAUGCGCGUUCAAGCAGUUAGGCUGAUGAGUAGGCAAAUCCGCUCAUCAUAAAGGCUGAGCUGUGAUGACGAGGGAAUUAUAGUACCGAAGUUCCUGAUUCCACACUGCCAAGAAAAGCCUCUAGCGAGGCGGGAGGUGCCCGUACCGCAAACCGACACAGGUAGGCGAGGAGAGAAUCCUAAGGUGAUCGAGAGAACUCUCGUUAAGGAACUCGGCAAAAUGACCCCGUAACUUCGGGAGAAGGGGUGCUCUGGUAGGGUGUAUAGCCCGAGAGAGCCGCAGUGAAUAGGCCCAGGCGACUGUUUAGCAAAAACACAGGUCUCUGCGAAGCCGCAAGGCGAAGUAUAGGGGCUGACGCCUGCCCGGUGCUGGAAGGUUAAGAGGAGGGGUUAUCCUUUGGGAGAAGCUCUGAAUCGAAGCCCCAGUAAACGGCGGCCGUAACUAUAACGGUCCUAAGGUAGCGAAAUUCCUUGUCGGGUAAGUUCCGACCCGCACGAAAGGCGUAACGAUCUGGGCACUGUCUCAACGAGAGACUCGGUGAAAUUAUAGUACCUGUGAAGAUGCAGGUUACCCGCGACAGGACGGAAAGACCCCGUGGAGCUUUACUGUAGCCUGAUAUUGAAUUUUGGUACAGCUUGUACAGGAUAGGUAGGAGCCUGAGAAGCCGGAGCGCUAGCUUCGGUGGAGGCGUCGGUGGGAUACUACCCUGGCUGUAUUGAAAUUCUAACCCGCGGCCCUGAUCGGGCCGGGAGACAGUGUCAGGUGGGCAGUUUGACUGGGGCGGUCGCCUCCUAAAAUGUAACGGAGGCGCCCAAAGGUUCCCUCAGAAUGGUUGGAAAUCAUUCGUAGAGUGUAAAGGCACAAGGGAGCUUGACUGCGAGACCUACAAGUCGAGCAGGGACGAAAGUCGGGCUUAGUGAUCCGGUGGUUCCGCAUGGAAGGGCCAUCGCUCAACGGAUAAAAGCUACCCCGGGGAUAACAGGCUUAUCUCCCCCAAGAGUCCACAUCGACGGGGAGGUUUGGCACCUCGAUGUCGGCUCAUCGCAUCCUGGGGCUGUAGUCGGUCCCAAGGGUUGGGCUGUUCGCCCAUUAAAGCGGUACGCGAGCUGGGUUCAGAACGUCGUGAGACAGUUCGGUCCCUAUCCGUCGUGGGCGUAGGAAAUUUGAGAGGAGCUGUCCUUAGUACGAGAGGACCGGGAUGGACACACCGCUGGUGUACCAGUUGUCUUGCCAAAGGCAUCGCUGGGUAGCUAUGUGUGGACGGGAUAAGUGCUGAAAGCAUCUAAGCAUGAAGCCCCCCUCAAGAUGAGAUUUCCCAUAGCGCAAGCUAGUAAGAUCCCUGAAAGAUGAUCAGGUUGAUAGGUCAGAGGUGGAAGCGUGGCGACACGUGUAGCUGACUGAUACUAAUCGAUCGAGGACUUAACCAA